CUGGCGGCGUGCUUAACACAUGCAAGUCGAACGAGAAUCGUGCGGAAAGAGGAUUCGUCCAAUUGAAGCAGAGGACAGUGGCGGACGGGUGAGUAACGCGUGAGGAACCUGCCUUUCAGAGGGGGACAACAGUUGGAAACGACUGCUAAUACCGCAUGACACAUAGGUGUCGCAUGGCACUUAUGUCAAAGAUUUAUCGCUGAAAGAUGGCCUCGCGUCUGAUUAGCUAGUUGGUGAGGUAAACGGCCCACCAAGGCGACGAUCAGUAGCCGGACUGAGAGGUUGAACGGCCACAUUGGGACUGAGAUACGGCCCCAGACUCCUACGGGAGGCAGCAGUGGGGAAUAUUGGGCAAUGGGCGCAAGCCUGACCCAGCAACGCCGCGUGAAGGAAGAAGGCUUUCGGGUUGUAAACUUCUUUUGUCAGGGACGAGCAGAAGACGGUACCUGACGAAUAAGCCACGGCUAACUACGUG
This 475-nucleotide ribosomal RNA is filed under the name uncultured bacterium. Its description in RNAcentral is "bacterial SSU rRNA". It matches the Rfam family "Bacterial small subunit ribosomal RNA", at positions 36 to 507 of the family's 1533-position model. The record is from RNAcentral.